ACUCAAAUGAAUUGACGGGGACCCGCACAACCGGUGGAGCGUGUGGUUCAAUUCGAGACGAAACGAAAAACCUCACCAGGGCUUGACAUACAAUCGUACAUUUCCUUAGAAAUAGGGAGAAAUCCGCAAGGAUGAUUGCACAGGUGCUGCAUGGCUGUCGUAAGUUCGUGCCGUGAGGUGUUCCCUUAAGUGGGGAAACGAACGCAACCCCCGUGGAAUGUUAAAUAUUCAUUUCAGACGGUCCCAUUUUUUGGGAAGGAAGGAGGGGCAGACGUCAAGUCAGCAUGGUCCUUAUGCCCUGGGCUACACACACACUACAAUGACGAAGAACAAUGGGCUGCAAGCCGGUAACGGCAAGCGAAUCCCAGAAAUUUCGCCUCAGUUCAGAUUGAGGGCUGCAACUCGCCCUCAUGAAGUCGGAAUCGGUAGUAAUCGCGGAUCAGCAAGCCGCGGUGAAUACGUUCUCGGGUCUUGUACACACCGCCCGU
RNAcentral lists this ribosomal RNA (488 nucleotides) under uncultured bacterium. Its description in RNAcentral is "partial 16S ribosomal RNA". It matches the Rfam family "Bacterial small subunit ribosomal RNA", at positions 899 to 1397 of the family's 1533-position model. The record is from RNAcentral.